Molecule: ribosomal RNA, 307 nt
Filed under: uncultured eukaryote
Lineage: Eukaryota
Description: partial 18S ribosomal RNA
Rfam family: Eukaryotic small subunit ribosomal RNA
Source: RNAcentral
CCCUUAGACGUUCUGGGCCGCACGCGCGCUACACUGACACAGGCAACGAGCUUUCCUUUACCGAAAGGUAUGGGUAAUCUUUUGAAACUGUGUCGUGCUGGGGAUAGAUCCUUGCAAUUUUUGAUCUUAAACGAGGAAUUCCUAGUAAGCGCGAGUCAUCAACUCGCGUUGAUUACGUCCCUGCCCUUUGUACACAUCGCCCGUCGCUACUACCGAUUGAAUGGCUUAGUGAGGCCUCAGGAUCCGCGCUUAAUGUGUGGAGAAUUUGGACAAACUACGUCAUUUAGAGGAAGUAAAAGUCGUAACA